Molecule: ribosomal RNA, 646 nt
Filed under: Choreopraon totarae
Lineage: Eukaryota; Metazoa; Arthropoda; Insecta; Hymenoptera; Braconidae
Description: eukaryotic LSU rRNA
Rfam family: Eukaryotic large subunit ribosomal RNA
Source: RNAcentral
CCUGAGAAACCCAAAAGAUCGAAUGGGGAGAUUCAUCGUCAAUAUGUUUUAUAUAUAUAUGCAUUAUGAUGUAAAUAUUAUGAUUUAAUUAUCAUUAUAAAUUUAUACAUAUGUAUAUUAUUUUAUUGUAAGACAUUGUCGGCGUGCACUUCUCCCCUAGUAGGACGUCGCGACCCGUUGGGUGUUGGUCUACGGCCUGAUUGGGUAGCCUUUAAUCGUUAUACAUUGAAGACCAAUUAGUGUUUCCUGACCAACUGCCCGGCGGUAUUCGUAUGGUAUUGAGUCGCAAUUUAUUUGCGUCCUCACCCGUCGCAAGCGAGGCCAGUAUCCCGGUAGUACGGACUUAGUGCCGUCGCUGGGCCUGGCCAGCUGUUGGCUGUACGGUGUUCUGGGACUGACUCAUAAUAAUUAUAAUUACCGGUCGGCGACGCUACUGCUUUGGGUACUUUCAGGACCCGUCUUGAAACACGGACCAAGGAGUCUAACAUGUGCGCGAGUCAUUGGGAUUUUUUUAAAAAAUUAAACCUAAAGGCGCAAUGAAAGUAAAGAUCGUCCUUGUGUCGAUUAAGGGAGGAUGAGACGUAUUACGAUACGUCUUCGCACUCCCGGGGCGUCUCAUUCUCAUUAUGAGAAGAGGCGCACCSAS